GGGCGCUUGGGACGGCACCCCCAAAUCCCCCGCCACUGAUGCCCGGCUCUGCAGCUGCAGAAAAGAGGCGCCAGCGUGCUCGGUGCCACGUCGGAAUUGGCUCCUGGGACGCUGCAGCUGCCUGCGCGACCUCGUGGUCCCCACGCACGCCCUGCCCCCGGGCGGCCCGCGAGCCGCGGAGGAGCCAAGAGCAGGGAUGCGCGCCCUCCCUCCCGCUCGGGUCUCCAAGGGCAGGGACCCCUGGCCACAGUAAGGCUUCCCGAGCUGGGCUGAGCCGGGACAGACCCAGCUGACACUUUAAUGGGGUGCAAGGAGUGCAAAGAAGGGGAGGCCAGGGAAAGAAGAGGAGUGGCGGAGCGAGGCCGGUAGCUGCAAGGAGGUGGCGAAGGACCCUCCUUCCCUAGGGCCGGAGUUGGGACCCCGGAUCGCCUUAACCCUUUGCAUUCCAAUGGAAAUUCUUGUCUCCCAACGCGUGAGCCUCUCUGCAGCUCCGGAAGAUGUGGGAUGGAAAAGUACAUCCCGGGCCGGGCAGCCUUUCCCAGGCAAAGAAGUUACCUGUGUUCCCAGAAAGGCAACGGAUUUCUGGCGAGCGCGCAGGGCUGGGAGAAGACAGCGGCUAUGUUGCUAAGGCUGACAGCGAUGUGAAAUGUCGUCUGGUUUUCAGGGUGAUGGAAAUUUUCAGACCUCAAACUUUUCUGUCGAAAGCUGACUUAAAUGUUUUUAACACUUAUGUGAAUAAUGUCCUCCCUGUCCCUGGCCUGUUCGAGGACCCUCAGCGUUCACCGAAUCGCGCCAGUGCAACGUACCUUGUUCAGUUCUUGGUCAUAAAGUUGUCCUCAGCCUGUCUGUGUGGUCCCGGAGGGUCGGUGGCGGGCAGUUUCCAAAACUGAGGUAAUAGGAGAUCAGAUGAAUUUGAGGCGACCGGCCAAAAAAAAUAAAAAAUUUAAAAACAACAUUUAAAAUGAAUAGGGGAAUCUUAAAUCUUUAGGUUCCCCCCAAUUAAAAAAAAAAAUCACUGGUAUGUUUUCUUAAUAUUUCCGUUGCACUUCAAUCUUCUAACUCUUAAAAGAAAAUUUUGUCUGUGCUUUAAAAAUAAAUGAACUUUAUUUUUUGCUCUUGUU
This 1121-nucleotide long non-coding RNA is filed under the name Sus scrofa (pig). Its description in RNAcentral is "lncRNA (ENSSSCG00025003625.1)". Lineage: Eukaryota; Metazoa; Chordata; Mammalia; Artiodactyla; Suidae. The record is from RNAcentral.